AUAUUUAACAAAUACUCAAAAUUAUUAGGGUAAAUCUCUUGUGCAACGACACUUGGAACAAUCCUCACAUUCUCUUUCCAAGAAAUACGCAACGCACUCCAAGGUUGAAAGUACAAGAUUCAAGAAUCGAGCUAGGAUGAACUCUAGAAACCCACAUAACAUUUGAAUUAUUGUUGAACAAUAUGUUGUAUUGUUUGGAACUAUGUAUUUCACUUUAGAGUUUAUGAAAUGAAUUAAAUAAAUUAUUGUCACAUUUAGUGUUA
This is a long non-coding RNA of Helianthus annuus (common sunflower), 263 nucleotides long. RefSeq lists it as uncharacterized. The transcript is spliced from 2 exons. The record is from RefSeq and is a predicted model, not a curated record. Lineage: Eukaryota; Viridiplantae; Streptophyta; Magnoliopsida; Asterales; Asteraceae.